GACGAACGCUGGCGGCGUGCUUAACCCAUGCAAGUCGAACGGAAAGGCCCUGCUUUUGUGGGGUGCUCGAGUGGCGAACGGGUGAGUAACACGUGAGUAACCUGCCCUUGACUUUGGGAUAACUUCAGGAAACUGGGGCUAAUACCGGAUAGGAGCUCCUGCUGCAUGGUGGGGGUUGGAAAGUUUCGGCGGUUGGGGAUGGACUCGCGGCUUAUCAGCUUGUUGGUGGGGUAGUGGCUUACCAAGGCUUUGACGGGUAGCCGGCCUGAGAGGGUGACCGGCCACAUUGGGACUGAGAUACGGCCCAGACUCCUACGGGAGGCAGCAGUGGGGAAUAUUGCACAAUGGGCGGAAGCCUGAUGCAGCAACGCCGCGUGCGAGAUGACGGCCUUCGGGUUGUAAACCGCUUUCGCCUGUGACGAAGCGUGAGUGACGGUAAUGGGUAAAGAAGCACCGGCUAACUACGUGCCAGCAGCCGCGGUGAUACGUAGGGUGCGAGCGUUGUCCGGAUUUAUUGGGCGUAAAGGGCUCGUAGGUGGUUGAUCGCGUCGGAAGUGUAAUCUUGGGGCUUAACCCUGAGCGUGCUUUCGAUACGGGUUGACUUGAGGAAGGUAGGGGAGAAUGGAAUUCCUGGUGGAGCGGUGGAAUGCGCAGAUAUCAGGAGGAACACCAGUGGCGAAGGCGGUUCUCUGGGCCUUUCCUGACGCUGAGGAGCGAAAGCGUGGGGAGCGAACAGGCUUAGAUACCCUGGUAGUCCACGCUGUAAACGGUGGGUACUAGGUGUGGGGUCCAUUCCACGGGUUCCGUGCCGUAGCUAACGCUUUAAGUACCCCGCCUGGGGAGUACGGCCGCAAGGCUAAAACUCAAAGGAAUUGACGGGGCCCCGCACAAGCGGCGGAGCAUGCGGAUUAAUUCGAUGCAACGCGUAGAACCUUACCUGGGUUUGACAUGGAUCGGGAGUGCUCAGAGAUGGGUGUGCCUCUUUUGGGGUCGGUUCACAGGUGGUGCAUGGCUGUCGUCAGCUCGUGUCGUGAGAUGUUGGGUUAAGUCCCGCAACGAGCGCAACCCUUGUUCACUGUUGCCAGCACGUUAUGGUGGGGACUCAGUGGAGACCGCCGGGGUCAACUCGGAGGAAGGUGGGGAUGACGUCAAGUCAUCAUGCCCCUUAUGUCCAGGGCUUCACGCAUGCUACAAUGGCUGGUACAGAGAGUGGCGAGCCUGUGAGGGUGAGCGAAUCUCGGAAAGCCGGCCUCAGUUCGGAUUGGGGUCUGCAACUCGACCUCAUGAAGUCGGAGUCGCUAGUAAUCGCAAAUCAGCAACGCUGCGGUGAAUACGUUCCCGGGGCU
This 1346-nucleotide ribosomal RNA is filed under the name uncultured bacterium. RNAcentral describes it as "partial 16S ribosomal RNA". It matches the Rfam family "Bacterial small subunit ribosomal RNA", at positions 28 to 1381 of the family's 1533-position model. The record is from RNAcentral.